RNAcentral lists this long non-coding RNA (1033 nucleotides) under Homo sapiens (human). Its description in RNAcentral is "HSALNT0317674". The record is from RNAcentral. Lineage: Eukaryota; Metazoa; Chordata; Mammalia; Primates; Hominidae.
CUUGAGAGAGGUCAGCGUGAGCCCCUUGCCUCACACCGGCCCCUCCCACGCUGAGAGAGGUCAGUGUGAGCCCUUGCCUCACACCGGCCCCUCCCACGCGGACAGAGGUCAGCGUGAGCCCCUUGCCUCACACCGGCCCCUCCCACGCUGAGAGAGGUCAGUGUGAGCCCUUGCCUCACCCCGGCCCCUCCCACGUGGACAGAGGUCAGCGUGAGCCCCUUGCCUCACACCGGCCCCUCCCACGCGGACAGAGGUCAGCCCGAGCCCCUUGUCUCACACCGGCCCCUCCCAUGCUGAGAGAGGUCAGCGUGCCCCUUGUCUCACACCGGCCCCUCCCACGCUGAGAGAGGUCAGCCCAAGCCCCUUGCCUCACACCGGCCCCUCCCACGCGGACAGAGGUCAGCCCGAGCUCCUUGCCUCACACCGGCCCCUCCCACGCUGAGAGAGGUCAGUGUGAGCCCUUGCCUCACACCGGCCCCUCCCACGCGGACAGAGGUCAGCGUGAGCCCCUUGCCUCACACCGGCCCCUCCCACGCUGAGAGAGGUCAGUGUGAGCCCUUGCCUCACACCGGCCCCUCCCACGCGGACAGAGGUCAGCGUGAGCCCCUUGCCUCACACCGGCCCCUCCCACGCUGAGAGAGGUCAGCCCGAGCCCCUUGCCUCACACCGGCCCCUCCCACGCUGAGAGAGGUCAGCGUGAGCCCCUUGUCUCACACCGGCCCCUCCCACGCUGAGAGAGGUCAGCGUGAGCCCCUUGCCUCACACCGGCCCCUCCCACGCUGAGAGAGGUCAGUGUGAGCCCUUGCCUCACACCGGCCCCUCCCACGCGGACAGAGGUCAGCGUGAGCCCCUUGCCUCACACCGGCCCCUCCCACGCUGAGAGAGGUCGGUGUGAGCCCUUGCCUCACACCGGCCCCUCCCACGCGGACAGAGGUCAGCGUGAGCCCCUUGCCUCACCCCGGCCCCUCCCACGCUGAGAGAGGUCAGUGUGAGCCCUUGCCUCACACCGGCCCCUCCCACGCGGACAGAGGUC